Etheostoma cragini (Arkansas darter) is the source of this 118-nucleotide small nuclear RNA. RefSeq annotates it as U5 spliceosomal RNA. The transcript has a single exon. Lineage: Eukaryota; Metazoa; Chordata; Actinopteri; Perciformes; Percidae. The record is from RefSeq and is a predicted model, not a curated record.
UCACUCUGGUUUCUCUUCAUAAUGCACAAGACUUUAGCCAUUUACUAAAGACUUCCUUGGAGGGGAACGCUGAUGAGUGAUCGAGAGAUUUUUGGUGGGCUUUGCUGUUUGGCUGAGC